UAACCACACCACCACUACCUUGUUCAUAGUUAACUAACCACACCACCACCACCUUGUUCAUAGGUAACUAACCACACCACCACUACCUUGUUCAUAGGUAACUAACCACACCACCACUACCUUGUUCGUAGUUAACUAACCACACCACCUUGUUCGUAGGCAACUAACCACACCACCUUGUUCAUAGGUAACUAACCACACGUCCUUGCUCAUAGGUAACUAACCACACCACCACGCUCAUAGGUAACUAACCACACCACCACGCUCAUAGGUAACUAACCACACCACCACGCUCAUAGGUAACUAACCACACCACCACGCUCAUAGGUAACUAACCACACCACCACGUUCAUAGGUAACUAACCACACCACCACCACCUUAUUCAUAGGUAACUAACCACACCACCACUACCUUAUUCAUAGGUAACUAACCACACCACCACUACCUUGUUCAUAGGUAACUAACCACACCACCUUGUUCAUAGGUAACUAACCACACCACCACUACCUUGUUCAUAGGUUACUAACCACACCACCACUACCUUGUUCAUAGGUAACUAACCACACCACCACUACCUUGUUCAUAGGUAACUAACCACACCACCUUGUUCAUAGGUAACUAACCACACCACCACUGCCUUAUUCAUAGGUAACUAACCACACCACCACCACCUUGUUCAUAGGUAACUAACCACACCGCCACUACCUUGUUCAUAGGUAACUAACCACACCACCUUGUUCAUAGGUAACUAACCACACCACCACCACCUUGUUCAUAGGUAACUAACCACACUGCCACUACCUUGUUCAUAGGUUACUAACCACACCACCACUACCUUAUUCAGAGGUAACUAACCACACCACCACUACCUUAUUCAUAGGUAACUAACCACACCACCACCACCUUGUUCAUAGGUAACUAACCAC
This 927-nucleotide long non-coding RNA is filed under the name Salmo salar (Atlantic salmon). Its description in RNAcentral is "lncRNA (ENSSSAG00000081740.1)". The record is from RNAcentral. Lineage: Eukaryota; Metazoa; Chordata; Actinopteri; Salmoniformes; Salmonidae.